CGGGGUGCACCAGGCGCGAAAACUUUACAAUGCGGGAAACCGUGAUAAGGGGACACCGAGUGCCAGCAUCAUAUGCUGGCUGUCCGGGUGUGUAAAAUACACCCGUUAGCAAGGGCCGGGCAAGACCGGUGCCAGCCGCCGCGGUAACACCGGCGGCCCGAGUGGUGAUCGUGAUUAUUGGGUCUAAAGGGUCCGUAGCCGGUUUGGUCAGUCCUCCGGGAAAUCUGACGGCUCAACCGUUAGGCUUUCGGGGGAUACUGCCAGGCUUGGAACCGGGAGAGGUAAGAGGUACUACAGGGGUAGGAGUGAAAUCUUGUAAUCCCUGUGAGACCACCUGUGGCGAAGGCGUCUUACCAGAACGGGUUCGACGGUGAGGGACGAAAGCUGGGGGCACGAACCGGAUUAGAUACCCGGGUAGUCCCAGCCGUAAACGAUGCUCGCUAGGUGUCAGGCAUGGCGCGACCGUGUCUGGUGCCGCAGGGAAGCCGUGAAGCGAGCCACCUGGGAAGUACGGCCGCAAGGCUGAAACUUAAAGGAAUUGGCGGGGGAGC
This 551-nucleotide ribosomal RNA is filed under the name uncultured archaeon. RNAcentral's name for it is "bacterial SSU rRNA". It matches the Rfam family "Archaeal small subunit ribosomal RNA", at positions 326 to 877 of the family's 1478-position model. The record is from RNAcentral.